RNAcentral lists this ribosomal RNA (484 nucleotides) under uncultured bacterium. RNAcentral describes it as "partial 16S ribosomal RNA". It matches the Rfam family "Bacterial small subunit ribosomal RNA", at positions 29 to 507 of the family's 1533-position model. The record is from RNAcentral.
AUUGAACGCUGGCGGCAUGCUUUACACAUGCAAGUCGAACGGCAGCGCGGGCUUCGGCCUGGCGGCGAGUGGCGAACGGGUGAGUAAUACAUCGGAACGUGCCCAGUAGUGGGGGAUAGCUCGGCGAAAGCCGGAUUAAUACCGCAUACGACCUGAGGGUGAAAGCGGGGGAUCUUCGGACCUCGCGCUAUUGGAGCGGCCGAUGGCAGAUUAGCUAGUUGGUGGGGUAAAGGCCUACCAAGGCGACGAUCUGUAGCUGGUCUGAGAGGACGACCAGCCACACGGGGACUGAGACACGGCCAAGACGCCUACGGGAGGCAGCAGUGGGGAAUUUUGGACAAUGGGCGAAAGCCUGAUCCAGCAAGGCCGCGUGUGUGAUGAAGGCCUUCGGGUUGGAAAGAACUUUUGGCGGGAACGAAAAGGACUGUGCCAAUACCACGGUUCGAUGACGGUACCGGCAGAAUAAGCACCGGCUAACUACGUG